This 492-nucleotide ribosomal RNA is filed under the name uncultured bacterium. RNAcentral's name for it is "partial 16S ribosomal RNA". It matches the Rfam family "Bacterial small subunit ribosomal RNA", at positions 29 to 507 of the family's 1533-position model. The record is from RNAcentral.
AGUGAACGCUGGCGGUAGGCCUAACACAUGCAAGUCGAACGGCAGCACAGUAAGAGCUUGCUCUUACGGGUGGCGAGUGGCGGACGGGUGAGGAAUACAUCGGAAUCUACUUUUUCGUGGGGGAUAACGUAGGGAAACUUACGCUAAUACCGCAUACGACCUACGGGUGAAAGCAGGGGAUCUUCGGACCUUGCGCGAUUGAAUGCGCCGAUGUCGGAUUAGCUAGUUGGCGGGGUAAAGGCCCACCAAGGCGACGAUCCGUAGCUGGUCUGAGAGGAUGGUCAGCCACACUGGAACUGAGACACGGUCCAGACUCCUACGGGAGGCAGCAGUGGGGAAUAUUGGACAAUGGGCGCAAGCCUGAUCCAGCCAUACCGCGUGGGUGAAGAAGGCCUUCGGGUUGUAAAGCCCUUUUGUUGGGAAAGAAAAGCAGCAGGUUAAUACCCCGCUGUUCUGACGGUACCCAAAGAAUAAGCACCGGCUAACUUCGUG